This 245-nucleotide non-coding RNA is filed under the name Streptomyces dysideae. Its description in RNAcentral is "Streptomyces sp. RV15 Streptomyces sRNA 4677". It matches the Rfam family "Streptomyces sRNA 4677". Rfam says of the family: Located in the intergenic region between anti-sigma factor SCO4677 gene and a putative regulatory protein gene SCO4676. scr4677 expression requires the SCO4677 activity and scr4677 sRNA itself seem to affect the levels of the SCO4676-associated transcripts. Lineage: Bacteria; Bacillati; Actinomycetota; Actinomycetes; Kitasatosporales; Streptomycetaceae. The record is from Rfam by way of RNAcentral.
UGCUCCGGUGUCAGGGGCGGUCUUUCCCAAGGACCACGAGGGCGAAAGAACCCCGACCAAGCCCCACCCCUCCCGCCCGCGCCGCAAACUCACUCACGCGGGUGAACAUCACCAACUCGGCUGGAUUUCGGCCCGGUUGCCUGCCUUACGCUCGCCGCAACACAACCGCAGACAUGCGACGGCCCUCGCCGGGACGCCAAUCCCAGUGCGAGGGCCUGACCACCGAGGAAGAUGAGGCCUUCCCG